RNAcentral lists this transfer RNA (77 nucleotides) under Saprospiraceae bacterium. RNAcentral's name for it is "tRNA-Cys". It matches the Rfam family "tRNA". From Rfam's summary of the family: Transfer RNA (tRNA) molecules are approximately 80 nucleotides in length. Lineage: Bacteria; Pseudomonadati; Bacteroidota; Saprospiria; Saprospirales; Saprospiraceae. The record is from RNAcentral.
GCGGGUAUAGCCAAGCGGCCAAAGGCGGCGGUUUGCAAAACCGUUAAGCAUCGGUUCGAAUCCGAUUACCCGCUCCA